AUAGAAAAUGCCACCUGUACGGAAAUACAGGUGGCGAAAUGGGAGAGGAGAAACCGGAGGAAGAGCUUAUGGGGAAACGUAAGCCUUCUCCGCGG
This is a non-coding RNA of Bacillus thermozeamaize, 95 nucleotides long. The record is from Rfam. NCBI's taxonomy places the organism in Bacteria, Bacillati, Bacillota, Bacilli, Caryophanales, Bacillaceae.